Molecule: ribosomal RNA, 1405 nt
Filed under: uncultured Bordetella sp.
Lineage: Bacteria; Pseudomonadati; Pseudomonadota; Betaproteobacteria; Burkholderiales; Alcaligenaceae
Description: partial 16S-23S ribosomal RNA intergenic spacer
Rfam family: Bacterial small subunit ribosomal RNA
Source: RNAcentral
AGUCGAACGGCAGCACGGACUUCGGUCUGGUGGCGAGUGGCGAACGGGUGAGUAAUGUAUCGGAACGUGCCUAGUAGCGGGGGAUAACUACGCGAAAGCGUAAUAAUACCGCAUACGCCCUUCGGGGAAAGCGGGGGACCUUCGGGCCUCGCACUAUUAGAGCGGCCGAUAUCGGAUUAGCUAGUUGGUGGGGUAACGGCUCACCAAGGCGACGAUCCGUAGCUGGUUUGAGGACGACCAGCCACACUGGGACUGGAGACCUGGCCCAGACUCUACGGGAGGCAGCAGUGGGGAAUUUUGGACAAUGGGGGAAACCUGAUCCAGCCAUCCCGCGUGUGCGAUGAAGGCCUUCGGGUUGUAAAGCACUUUUGGCAGAAAAGAAACGGCACGGGAUAAUACCCCGUGCAACUGACAGUACCUGCAGAAUAAGCACCGGCUAACUACGUGCCAGCAGCCGCGGUAAUACGUAGGGUGCAAGCGUUAAUCGGAAUUACUGGGCGUAAAGCGUGCGCAGGCGGUUCGGAAAGAAAGAUGUGAAAUCCCAGAGCUUAACUGGAACUGCAUUUUUAGCUACCAGGCUAGAGUGUAUUGUCAGAGGGAGGUGGAAUUCCGCGAUGUAGCAGUGAAAUGCGUAGAUAUGCGGAGGAACACCGAUGGCGAAGGCAGCCUCCUGGGAUAACACUGACUCAUGCACGAAAGCGUGGGGGAGCAAACAGAGUUAGAUACCCUGGUAGUCCACGCCCUAAACGAUGUCAACUAGCUGUUAGGCCUUCGGGCCUUGGUAGCGCGUGAAGUUGACCGCCUGGGAAAUACGGUCGCAAGAUUAAAACUCAAAGGAAUUGACGGGGACCCGCACAAGCGGUGGAUGAUGUGGAUUAAUUCGAUGCAACGCGAAAAACCUUACCUACCCUUGACAUGUCUGGAAUCCCGAAGAGAUUUGGGAGUGCUCGCAAGAGAACCGGAACACAGGUGCUGCAUGGCUGUCGUCAGCUCGUGUCGUGAGAUGUUGGGUGGAAUCCGCAACAGGCGCAACCCUUGUCAUUAGUUGCUACGAAAGGGCACUCUAAUGAGACUGCCGGUGACAAACCGGAGGAAGGUCGGGACGUCAAGUCUCAUGACCUGUAGGUUAGAACUCACCGUCAUACAAUGUUAAGAACAAGGCAACAAGAAGGCGCCAUUACGAGGAGCCAAUCAGAACCGUCGUGUCAGGACCGCAGUCCAGCUCACGACGUGGAAAGUCAGAUCAUGUAAUCACGGAUCAGCAUUAUCUGGCGUGAUACGUUCAGGUCUGCUACACCGCCGUCUACUUUUAGCGGGAAUUGGGUUUAUGAAGUAGUCCGGCUAACCGUAAGAGGGCGAUUACCACGGUAGGAUUCAUGACUGGGGUGAAGUCGUAACAAGGUAA